GUGUCAGCAGCCGCGGUAAUACGUAGGGGGCGAGCGUUGUCCGGAUUUAUUGGGCGUAAAGGGAGUGUAGGCGGUCUUUUAAGUCUGAUGUGAAAGCCCACGGCUCAACCGUGGAGGGUCAUUGGAAACUGGGAGACUUGAGUGCAGAAGAGGAGAGCGGAAUUCCAUGUGUAGCGGUGAAAUGCGUAGAUAUAUGGAGGAACACCAGUGGCGAAGGCGGCUCUCUGGUCUGUAACUGACGCUGAGGCUCGAAGCGUGGGGAGCAAACAGGAUUAGAAACCCUGGUAGUCC
This 291-nucleotide ribosomal RNA is filed under the name uncultured Abiotrophia sp. RNAcentral's name for it is "partial 16S ribosomal RNA". It matches the Rfam family "Bacterial small subunit ribosomal RNA", at positions 505 to 796 of the family's 1533-position model. Lineage: Bacteria; Bacillati; Bacillota; Bacilli; Lactobacillales; Aerococcaceae. The record is from RNAcentral.